Chrysoperla carnea is the source of this 342-nucleotide long non-coding RNA. RefSeq lists it as uncharacterized. Lineage: Eukaryota; Metazoa; Arthropoda; Insecta; Neuroptera; Chrysopidae. The transcript is spliced from 3 exons. The record is from RefSeq and is a predicted model, not a curated record.
UCAACUUGUUUUUAUUCAAUAUCAAGUCUAUAUCAUUAUCAAUAAGUUUUCGAUAUUUUCUUGAAAUAUUGAAUUUUCAAUUUAAUAAUUGUGUAGUGUGUAACGCUACGGAGGAAAAUGUUGAUGUAUGAACUACAUUCAAAAUAUGAACUACAUUGGACUACAUUCAAAAUAACCAAUCUGUUGUUUGUUGAGAAACAUCAUGCAAUUGAAAUCAAUUUACCUUGAUGAUACAAUUUCGAUUUUCAAUUUGGUUAAACAAAAAUCACAUGAUCACUAUAAUCUACAGGGCUUAGUUACGUUUUGCAGUAAAAAAUUAAAGGUUGAUAUAUCAACAUGCUU